RNAcentral lists this ribosomal RNA (388 nucleotides) under Gilliamella sp. Fer1-1. Its description in RNAcentral is "bacterial SSU rRNA". It matches the Rfam family "Bacterial small subunit ribosomal RNA", at positions 1 to 387 of the family's 1533-position model. Lineage: Bacteria; Pseudomonadati; Pseudomonadota; Gammaproteobacteria; Orbales; Orbaceae. The record is from RNAcentral.
UUAAAUUGAAGAGUUUGAUCAUGGCUCAGAUUGAACGCUGGCGGCAGGCUUAACACAUGCAAGUCGAACGGUAACAUGAGUGCUUGCACUUGAUGACGAGUGGCGGACGGGUGAGUAAAGUAUGGGGAUCUGCCGAAUGGUGGGGAACAACAGUUGGAAACGACUGCUAAUACCGCAUAAAGUUGAGAGACCAAAGCAUGGGACCUUCGGGCCAUGCGCCAUUUGAUGAACCCAUAUGGGAUUAGCUAGUAGGUGGGGUAAAGGCUCACCUAGGCGACGAUCUCUAGCUGGUCUGAGAGGAUGGCCAGCCACACUGGAACUGAGACACGGUCCAGACUCCUACGGGAGGCAGCAGUGGGGAAUAUUGCACAAUGGGGGGAACCCUGAU